GACGAACGCUGGCGGCGUGCUUAACACAUGCAAGUCGAACGGAAAGGCCCUGCUUUUGUGGGGUGCUCGAGUGGCGAACGGGUGAGUAACACGUGAGUAACCUGCCCUUGACUUUGGGAUAACUUCAGGAAACUGGGGCUAAUACCGGAUAGGAGCUCCUGCUGCAUGGUGGGGGUUGGAAAGUUUCGGCGGUUGGGGAUGGACUCGCGGCUUAUCAGCUUGUUGGUGGGGUAGUGGCUUACCAAGGCUUUGACGGGUAGCCGGCCUGAGAGGGUGACCGGCCACAUGGGGACUGAGAAGCGGCCCAGACUCCUACGGGAGGCAGCGGGGGGGAAUUGUGCACAAGGGGCGGAAGCCGGAUGCAGCAACGCCGGGUGGGGGAUGACGGCCUUCGGGUUGUAAACCGUUUUCGCCUGGGACGAAGCGUGGGUGACGGUAAUGGGUAAAGAAGCACCGGCUAACUACGU
This 467-nucleotide ribosomal RNA is filed under the name uncultured bacterium. RNAcentral's name for it is "partial 16S ribosomal RNA". It matches the Rfam family "Bacterial small subunit ribosomal RNA", at positions 28 to 506 of the family's 1533-position model. The record is from RNAcentral.